RNAcentral lists this transfer RNA (66 nucleotides) under Chloroflexota bacterium. RNAcentral's name for it is "tRNA-His". The record is from RNAcentral. Lineage: Bacteria; Bacillati; Chloroflexota.
GUUCCUGGACUGUGGAAGUGCGGUCUGUGGAACCGGAGGUCACGGGUUCGAGCCCCGUUAGGCACC